GACGAACGCUGGCGGCGUGCUUAACACAUGCGAGUCGAACGGAAAGGCCCUGCUUUUGUGGGGUGCUCGAGUGGCGAACGGGUGAGAAACACGUGAGUAACCUGCCCUUGACUUUGGGAUAACUUCAGGAAACUGGGGCUAAUACCGGAUAGGAGCUCCUGCUGCAUGGUGGGGGUUGGAAAGUUUCGGCGGUUGGGGAUGGACUCGCGGCUUAUCAGCUUGUUGGUGGGGUAGUGGCUUACCAAGGCUUUGACGGGUAGCCGGCCUGAGAGGGUGACCGGCCACAUUGGGACUGAGAUACGGCCCAGACUCCUACGGGAGGCAGCAGUGGGGAAUAUUGCACAAUGGGCGGAAGCCUGAUGCAGCAACGCCGCGUGCGGGAUGACGGCCUUCGGGUUGUAAACCGCUUUCGCCUGUGACGAAGCGUGAGUGACGGUAAUGGGUAAAGAAGCACCGGCUAACUACGUG
RNAcentral lists this ribosomal RNA (468 nucleotides) under uncultured bacterium. Its description in RNAcentral is "partial 16S ribosomal RNA". It matches the Rfam family "Bacterial small subunit ribosomal RNA", at positions 28 to 507 of the family's 1533-position model. The record is from RNAcentral.